Molecule: ribosomal RNA, 413 nt
Filed under: uncultured microorganism
Description: bacterial SSU rRNA
Rfam family: Bacterial small subunit ribosomal RNA
Source: RNAcentral
GAGUUUGAUCAUGGCUCAGAUUGAACGCUGGCGGUAUGCUUAACACAUGCAAGUCGAACGGUAACAGGAGAGAGCUUGCUCUUUUGCUGACGAGUGGCGGACGGGUGAGUAAUGCGUAGGAAUCUGCCUAGUAGUGGGGGACAAUGUGUGGAAACGCACGCUAAUACCGCAUACGCCCUACGGGGAAAGCGGGGGAUCUUCGGACCUCGCGCUAUUAGAUGAGCCUACGUUAGAUUAGCUAGUUGUGGGGUAAAGGCCUACCAAGGCGACGAUCUAUAGCUGGUCUGAGAGGAUGAUCAGCCACACUGGGACUGAGACACGGCCCAGACUCCUACGGGAGGCAGCAGUGGGGAAUAUUGGACGAAUGGGCGAAAGGCCUGAUCCAGCAACUACCGCGUGUGUGAAGAAGGCCU